Molecule: ribosomal RNA, 2900 nt
Filed under: Clostridioides difficile
Lineage: Bacteria; Bacillati; Bacillota; Clostridia; Peptostreptococcales; Peptostreptococcaceae
Description: bacterial LSU rRNA
Rfam family: Bacterial large subunit ribosomal RNA
Source: RNAcentral
UGGUCAAGUUAUUAAGGGUGCAGGGCGGAUGCCUUGGCACUAGGAGCCGAUGAAGGACGUGAUAAGCUGCGAUAAGCUUCGGGGAGUUGCACGUAAACUUUGAUCCGAAGAUUUCCGAAUGAGGAAACUCACUUAGAGUAAUGUCUAAGUAUCAUUAAGUGAAUACAUAGCUUAAUGAGGGGAACUCAGGGAACUGAAACAUCUAAGUACCUGAAGGAAGAGAAAGAAAUUCGAUUCCGUAAGUAGCGGCGAGCGAACGCGGAUUAGCCCAAACCAAUAAAGUUUUCUUUAUUGGGGUUGCGGACAUAUCAUAACGAAGAGGUAUCGUAAUUGAAGAGGUUUGGAAAGACCCACCACAGAAGGUAAUAGUCCUGUAUGUUAAACGAGAAGACUUCAGAUAUGAUCCAGAGUACCACGGGACACGUGAAACCCUGUGGGAAGCAGGAGGGACCACCCUCCAAGGCUAAAUACUACCUAGUGACCGAUAGCGUAUAGUACCGUGAGGGAAAGGUGAAAAGAACCCCGGGAGGGGAGUGAAAUAGAACCUGAAACCCUGCACUUACAAGCUGUGGAAGCACAUUUCUUGUGUGACCGCGUACUUUUUGUAGAACGGGCCAACGAGUUACGUUAAGUAGCAAGGUUAAGCACUUAAGGUGCGGAGCCGUAGCGAAAGCGAGUUUUAACUGAGCGUUCAGUUACUUGACGUAGACCCGAAACCGGGCGACCUACCCAUGAGCAGGAUGAAGCGAAAGUAAAAUUUCGUGGAGGUCCGAACCCACGAGCGUUGAAAAGCUCGGGGAUGACUUGUGGGUAGCGGUGAAAUUCCAAUCGAGCCCGGAGAUAGCUGGUUCUCCCCGAAAUAGCUUUAGGGCUAGCCUCAAGGUGAGAGAUACGGAGGUAGAGCACUGAAUGUCCUAGGGGGUAUUGCACCUACCGAAGACUAUCAAACUCCGAAUGCCGUCAUCUUAUACUUGGGAGUCAGACUGUGGGUGAUAAGAUUCAUAGUCGAAAGGGCAACAGCCCAGAUCGUCAGCUAAGGUCCCUAAAUGUAAGUUAAGUGGUAAAGGAUGUGGGAUUGCACAGACAACCAGGAUGUUGGCUUAGAAGCAGCCACUCAUUCAAAGAGUGCGUAAUAGCUCACUGGUCGAGUGAUCCUGCGCCGAAGAUUUCCGGGGCUAAAACUUACUACCGAAGCUACGGCAUCAGUAAUGAUGGGUAGGGGAGCUUCCCAUACGGGUUGAAGCAUGACCGUAAGGACAUGUGGACAGUAUGGGAGUGAGAAUGUUGGCAUGAGUAGCGAGAUGUGGGUGAGAAUCCCACAGGCCGUAAACCCAAGGUUUCCAGGGGAAGGUUCGUCCGCCCUGGGUUAGUCGGGACCUAAGCUGAGGCCGAAAGGCGUAGGUGAUGGACAACAGGUUGAUAUUCCUGUACUACCGAUAACCGUUUGAGAGAAGGGAUGACACAGUAGGAUAAGCUAAGCACACUGUUGGUUAUGUGUGCCCAAGCAUUGAGGCAGUCAAAGUAGGCAAAUCCGCUUUGAUAAUGCUGGGAUGUGAUGGGGAGCGAAAUUUAGUAGCGAAGUAGCUGAUUUCACACUGUCAAGAAAAGUCUCUAUCGAGGUUAAAGGUACCCGUACCGCAAACCGACACAGGUGGGUGAGGAGAGUAUCCUAAGGCCAGCGAGAGAACUGUUGUUAAGGAACUCGGCAAAAUGACCCCGUAACUUAGGGAUAAGGGGUGCCACCAUCAGGUGGCCGCAGAGAAUAGGCCCAAGCGACUGUUUACCAAAAACAUAGGUUUCUGCUAAGUCGCAAGACGAUGUAUAGGAGCUGACGCCUGCCCGGUGCUGGAAGGUUAAGGGGAUCUGUUAGAGCAAUCGAAGCAGUGAACUUAAGCCCCAGUAAACGGCGGCCGUAACUAUAACGGUCCUAAGGUAGCGAAAUUCCUUGUCGGGUAAGUUCCGACCCGCACGAAAGGCGUAACGAUUUGGGCACUGUCUCAACAACAGACUCGGUGAAAUUGUAAUUCCGGUGAAGAUGCCGGAUACCUGCGACAGGACGGAAAGACCCCAUGGAGCUUUACUGUAGCUUGACAUUGGGUCUUGGUACUACAUGUACAGGAUAGGUGGGAGGCUUUGAAACCAGGACGCCAGUUUUGGCGGAGCCAUCCUUGGGAUACCACCCUUGUAGUACUGGGACUCUAACCAUAGGCCAUGAAUCUGGUCUUGGGACACUGUCAGGUGGGCAGUUUGACUGGGGCGGUCGCCUCCCAAAAGGUAACGGAGGCGCUCAAAGGUUCUCUCAGUACGGUCGGAAAUCGUACGUAGAGUGUAAAGGCAAAAGAGAGCUUGAUUGCAAGACAUACAGGUCGAGCAAGGAUGAAAAUCGGACUUAGUGAUCCGGUGGUUCUGCGUGGAAGGGCCAUCGCUCAACGGAUAAAAGCUACCCUGGGGAUAACAGGCUUAUCUCCCCCAAGAGUCCACAUCGACGGGGAGGUUUGGCACCUCGAUGUCGGCUCAUCACAUCCUGGGGCUGUAGUAGGUCCCAAGGGUUGGGCUGUUCGCCCAUUAAAGUGGUACGCGAGCUGGGUUCAGAACGUCGUGAGACAGUUCGGUCCCUAUCCGUCGCAGGCGUAGGAAAUUUGAGAAGACCUGUCCUUAGUACGAGAGGACCGGGAUGGACGUACCUCUGGUGUACCAGUUGUCCUGCCAAGGGCAUGGCUGGGUAGCUAUGUACGGAAUGGAUAAGCGCUGAAAGCAUCUAAGCGCGAAGCCAACUUCAAGAUAAGAUUUCCCACCGCAAGGGUAAGACCCCAGAAAGACUAUCUGGUUGAUAGGUCGAAGGUGUAAGUGCAGCAAUGUAUUUAGCUUAUCGAUACUAAUAGGUCGAGGACUUGACCAAU